Molecule: ribosomal RNA, 500 nt
Filed under: uncultured bacterium
Lineage: Bacteria
Description: partial 16S ribosomal RNA
Rfam family: Bacterial small subunit ribosomal RNA
Source: RNAcentral
AUUGAACGCUGGCGGCAUGCCUUACACAUGCAAGUCGAACGGCAGCACGGGAGCAAUCCUGGUGGCGAGUGGCGAACGGGUGAGUAAAGUAUCGGAACGUGCCCAGUCGUGGGGGAUAACGUAGCGAAAGUUACGCUAAUACCGCAUACGAUCUAUGGAUGAAAGCGGGGGAUCGCAAGACCUCGCGCGAUUGGAGCGGCCGAUAUCAGAUUAGGUAGUUGGUGGGGUAAAGGCUCACCAAGCCGACGAUCUGUAGCUGGUCUGAGAGGACGACCAGCCACACUGGGCCUGGGACACGGCCCAGACUCCUACGGGAGGCAGCAGUGGGGAAUUUUGGACAAUGGACGAAAGCCUGAUCCAGCCAUGCCGCGUGCAGGAUGAAGGCCUUCGGGUUGUAAACUGCUUUUGUACGGAACGAAAAGGUUUGGGCUAAUAAGCUGAGCUCAUGACGGUACCGUAAGAAUAAGCACCGGCUAACUACGUGCCAGCCGCCGCGGUAA